GAGGCUGAUGGGACGCUGGAGCCUGGGCGGUUGCUAGAGUCGGUACCAUGGCGACGCGCAGUGGGGUUGGGGUGGCAAUGGCAGCUCGGUCCCUUUUAUCUGCCCGAGCUGUGAUUGCGUUCCUCCUGUUGUUACUCCCUCGCGUCUUACAGGCCCAGACCUUCUCUUUCCCUUUCCAGCAGCCGGAAAACUGCGAUAACAACCAGUACUUUGAUAUCUCCGCGCUCUCCUGUGUUCCGUGUGGAGCUAACCAGAGGCAGGAUGCCCGAGGAACUUCAUGUGUAUGUCUACCAGGAUUUCAGAUGAUCUCUAAUAAUGGAGGACCUGUUAUUAUUUGUAAAAAGUGCCCAGAAAACAUGAAAGGUGUUACUGAGGAUGGCUGGGACUGCAUUUCUUGCCCUAGUGGCUUAACUGCAGAAGGAAAAUGUCACUGUCCCACUGGUCAUAUUUUAGUGGAAAGAGACGUUAAUGGAACAUUGUUGUCUCAAGCAACUUGUGAGCUCUGUGAUGGAAAUGAAAGCUCUUUUACGGUAGCAAAUGCUUUACAAGACAGGUGCAUCCGAUGUGAGCCAACGUUUGUCAAUACCAGCAGGUCCUGUGCAUGUUCAGAACCUAACAUUUUAACAGGAGGAUUAUGUUUCAGCAGCACAGGGAGUUUUCCUUUACGUAGAAUUUCAACUACACGUUAUGGAGAGAUUGGCAUGUAUUUAACUUCAGAAUGGUUUGCAAAGUAUUUGCAAUCAUCGGCAGCUGCAUGUUGGGUAUAUGCCAAUCUAACAUCUUGUCAAGCUCUUGGAAAUAUGUGUGUGAUGAACAUGAAUUCUUACAACUCUGCCACAUUUGAUGCGUGUCGACUAUUUCAGUUUAUCUUUGAAAAUGCUGCUGGACUGAGCGCUAUUCAUUCUAUUUCAUUUUGGAGACAGAAUCUUCCUUGGCUGUUUUAUGGAGACCAGUUAGGAUUAGCACCUCAAGUGCUCAGUACUACUUCUCUUCCUACAAAUUUCAGUUUCAAAGGAGAAAACCAGAAUACAAAACUGAAGUUUGUUGCUGCUUCCUAUGAUAUAAGAGGAAAUUUUCUCAAGUGGCAAACUUUAGAAGGAGGUGUUUUACAGCUUUGUCCAGACACAGAGACAAGGCUCAAUGCUGCUUAUUCAUUUGGAACAACCUACCAACAAAAUUGUGAGAUUCCUAUCUCUAAGAUCUUGACUGACUUUCCCACUCCUAUAUUUUAUGAUGUGUACCUUGAAUAUGCUGAUGAAAAUCAACAUCAAUAUAUUUUGGCUGUGCCUGUGUUAAACCUAAAUCUUCAGCACAAUAAGAUGUUUGUGAACCAAGACAGCAACCCUGGCAAGUGGCUUCUAACUCGGCGCAUUUUCUUAGUGGAUGCAGUAAGUGGACGAGAAAAUGACUUAGGAAGUCAGCCAAGAGUAAUUCGAGUUGCUACCCAAAUAUCACUGAGCAUCCGCCUUGUACCCAACACAAUAAAUGGAAAUAUCUACCCUCCCUUAAUCACCAUUGCCUAUAGUGACAUUGAUAUCAAAGAUGCCAACAGCCAGUCUGUAAAGGUUUCUUUCUCAGUCACAUAUGAAAUGGAUCAUGGAGAAGCACAUAUCCAGACAGAUAUUGCUUUGGGUGUGUUGGGUGGGCUAGCUGUUUUAGCAUCUCUUUUGAAGACAGCAGGAUGGAAGAGGCGCAUUGGGAGUCCCAUGAUUGAUUUACAGACAGUUAUGAAAUUCUUGGUGUACUAUGCUGGCGAUCUGGCCAAUGUUUUCUUUAUCAUCACAGUGGGAACAGGUCUUUAUUGGCUUAUUUUCUUCAAAGCACAGAAGUCUGUCUCUGUUUUGCUCCCAAUGCCAGUUCAGGAAGAACGUUUUGUCACUUAUGUUGGAUGUGCCUUUGCUCUGAAGGCACUACAAUUUUUGCAUAAGCUUAUAUCCCAGAUUACAAUAGAUAUAUUCUUUAUUGAUUGGGAGCGACCUAAAGGAAAGGUUCUUAAAGCUGUUGAAGGUGAGGGUGGUGUACGAAGUGCCACUGUUCCUGUAAGCAUAUGGAGAACAUAUUUUGUAGCAAAUGAAUGGAAUGAAAUUCAGACUGUGAGAAAAAUUAAUUCGGUCUUUCAAGUAUUUAUUGUCCUCUUCUUUUUGGAGGUUGUGGGAUUCAAGAACUUAGCAUUAAUGGACUCAUCUUCUAGUCUUUCUAGAAGCCCACCUAGCUAUAUAGCUCCUUACAGCCGCAUUUUGAGAUAUGCAGUGUCUGCUGCUCUUUGGCUAGCCAUUGGAAUUAUACAGAUCGUGUUCUUUGCUGUCUUUUAUGAGAGAUUUAUAGAAGAUAAAAUUCGACAGUUCGUUGAUUUAUGCUCUAUGAGUAAUAUAUCAGUGUUUCUGUUAUCCCACAAAUGUUUUGGAUAUUACAUUCACGGUAGAUCAGUACAUGGGCAUGCAGAUACUAAUAUGGAAGAAAUGAAUAUGAACCUUAAAAGAGAAGCGGAAAAUUUGUGUAGCCAGAGAGGUUUGGUACCUAACACAGAUGGUCAGACUUUUCAGAUUGCAAUUUCUAACCAGAUGAGACAACACUAUGACAAAAUUCAUGAGACUCUAAUACGGAAAAAUGGCCCUGCUAGACUAUUGAGUUCAUCAGCAAGUACUUUGGAGCAGAGUAUAAAAGCAUAUCAUAUGAUGAAUAAAUUUCUUGGCUCCUUCAUUGAUCAUGUUCAUAAGGAAAUGGAUUACUUUAUAAAAGAUAAGUUACUUCUUGAAAGAAUUCUUGGAAUGGAAUUCAUGGAACCAAUGGAAAAAAGCAUCUUUUACAAUGAUGAAGGUUAUUCUUUCAGCAGUGUCCUGUAUUAUGGAAAUGAAGCUACCCUUCUUAUUUUUGAUUUGCUGUUCUUCUGUGUGGUGGAUUUGGCUUGCCAAAAUUUUAUUUUAGCAGCCUUCCUUACAUAUCUACAACAAGAGAUUUUUAGAUAUAUCUGUAAUACAGUAGGACAAAAGAAUUUGGCAUCCAAAACAUUGGUGGAUCAAAGAUUUUUGAUUUAACUUCCUGAAUAAAUAACUUAAAGACUCAAUAUAAUCAUGGCCAAAAGAAAUUGUCAUGAUAUCAGACAGGAAGACCUGAAGCCUUUGCAGUUUGUAUUUGACCAAAACCCUGGCUGACAGCAGGUGGCAGUGGAGCGCACAGUAAGCUUUUCAGGACCGGGCUGGGGCUCUUCUGACUAUAGCUCAAAGGCAUGGUGAUGCCUGUUUGGAGGCAUGGCCAAAUGUCAUCAGCGUAAACUUUACAGUCUUUGGACCUGGGUUCGAAGAACAGUUCUAUAACUUGGUGAGAUUUCUUGUUCAAGGUAAUCUUAGGCAUCAUUUUCCUGUUCUGAAUUAAGAAUAAUAACAAUGUCUUUUUGCUGGAAUGUUGUGAGACUUAAAUAUGACAAUGUACAUGGAAGCAUCGGUUGACUACAAAGCUAAACGUAAAUAUUAACUGUUAGGCAUUCUACUGUAUUUUAGAUAAACCAUCAAGGCAGCCACGAAGCAGAGUGACUUGAGAGCCAUCUGGAGACUAUUUUAAUGAUCCAGAUGAAGGAUGAUGACAAGGGCCUAUGCCAAGGCAGUGGCAGUGAGGAUGGAGAGAAAGGACAUAUUUAUAGGAUAUUUAGGUCACUUUACAAAACAGAACCGAAUGACAGAUUGGAUACAGUGAGGGAGAGGAAAGGGGGUCAGAAUGAUUCAGAAUUUUAUGUUGAGUAAUCGAGUGGAUGGUGAUGUUAUUAAUUACUCAUCGCGAAAGAAGAGUAGGCAGAAUAAUAUGUUCUAUUUCAGGAAUAUUGUGACGAGGUGUGUAUGAGACAUCCAGUAAGCAGAGAUGUGAAAUAUGAGUGGGACUAUGGGGGCGAGGGGGGGCUCAGAAAAGAGAUGUGCCAUAGAUUCAGAUUUGGACCCCACUGGGAUUUGUGAGACUAAAACUCUGAGAAUAGAGGUCAUGUCCAGGUAAGACAUAAGGCAAUGGUUUGUACCCCUUUAAAGCCAAGGAAACUUUCCACUCACACACACAAAAAAGAAAUGUUUACGCUAAAACCCAGUUUGCAAAACAACUCAAAAUGAAGCUUUUCUGGUUAUAUCCAGAGUGAGUUUCCUGGAGCCAACUUCUUGAGACAGCCUCUGAACACGUUUCACUGAGCCCAGUUUGAGAACCACCUACAUGGAGAAGAGAAGUGUGUGAGUUAACCACUAAAUGGAGUCUGAAAGAAAGCAGCUUAUGCAAAAUCAGACUGGAAUUUUAGUUUUAGAUUUUUUGUGAAAAGCUUUUUUGAAACUUUAAUGAUGUUCGAAGCUUCACCCAGUUAUUUGCAGUACUAAUACUCAUUCUGGCCUGCUCUUACAGAUCUGUGACUUUAUUUCAAUGUCUGUGUGUGUCCACCAGAAGCCGCAGGGCCAUUCAAAUAAAGAAAGUUGGCUGAGUUUCCAAGUCUCUCUUUCCAAGGUCAUGCACGUUGGUUUUCCUCUUUAUCAGCAGAGGCUUAUCUUAUAUACAUCUGCUGGGUCAUUCGUGCUAAGAUCAUCAUGUUUGUCCCAAUUACCAUGAUUCUUACGUGAUCUCUAAACUAGAUAAAUGCUCAUCCACUCAAGCAGUUGUUUAAUAAAAGUAAUCUUAAAUAUUUAACUUGUAAACUUUUUAAAAAGUCGAAUUGUCCUUUUGAUUUGGGUAGCCAAAGACAAACAAAAAGAUUAAAAAAAAAAAAGAAAUUAAAAAAAAGAAAAAAAAAAGUCCAAUUGGUGAAACCUUUUCUCUAAAUUAAAUUAAUCGAGUCUGCUUAUUAUUUCAACACAGUCGAGGGUUUAAUUUUAAAUCCACUAAGGGCAUUUUGACUUGGUUAUUAAAUCAGAAAGACCUAAUCAUAUGAUAAAGAAAGAUAACAGGAGCAAGAAAAAGAGGGGAGCAGAGGGGGGUCAAAAGAGAGAAGCAAGGACAUCGCGUGAUGUAUUAUAUUAAGAGCUACUUUAAAAACAAAAACAAUAGCACUCUAACAUAUCAGGGAUCUAAACAAUAAAAAUUUAUUUCUCAAAGU
Sapajus apella (tufted capuchin) is the source of this 5056-nucleotide RNA transcript. It is a transcript of the gene named transmembrane protein 67, with no coding region annotated. NCBI's taxonomy places the organism in Eukaryota, Metazoa, Chordata, Mammalia, Primates, Cebidae. The record is from RefSeq and is a predicted model, not a curated record. The transcript is spliced from 30 exons.